GCUGCAAAUUUUGAUGUGAUGGAGGAUCUAGAAAUUUUUUGGAACUAAAUAAGACCUAAUAAUUAAGACUUAUUUUCUUUUCUUUUUUUCCCUCUCUACCCUAUCCAGAGUACGGCAUGCGGCCUUAUCUAUUCUUCCUCGCACGGAGCCUUAUCUCUUCUUCAUUCAUCCACCGCAUGCACAGAGCCUUAUCUGUUCUUCCACUACACGCACGCAAAUCUCUCAGGCAGCUGUGCGGCUGCCGCCGACUGUGUGCCGGCGCUCGCCCGUCCCGGUGCCCCGGUGGCCUUGACCCUCGUGCCCUCGCGACCUGCCUACCGCGUGUGUGCGCCUCUCCAUCGCGUUCGUGCUCGCCAAUGGUCUGGACUCCACCUCGCAUGGGACAGCAGGUGCCGCGACGCACAACCACAGCGCUCUCACGGUGCGGCUAGGGCGGUGAUGGUAGGGUGGCCGUGGCAAAGCAAUUUGUGGCGAAGGCGGAGAAAAAGUUCGCCACAGGUUUGAGGCAAAAUUUUGUGGCGACUCUUUCUUCUAGCUGUGGCGAGCCUCACCUGAACAAGGAACCAAACACCAGCCACGACAUCUUUGGCGAUCCUAACAUUAGGUGUGGCGAUGUGUGGCGGCCAACCAAACAUGCCCCGCGUUGUACCCUUGAGAUUUAAUUCGGGUCCACCUAUUUCUGGUUCGGUUCCACAACUUAAGUUCCUUUGGUUCGGGUUCACAACUUAAGUUUCUUUCACUUGGUUUUUUCUGUUUUUAAACCAUCAGAUUUAACGAAAUGGAGGGCUCAUAUUAUUUCCAAGCACCGUAAAAUUUCACUAAAACUAAGGCCUUGUUUAC
This 840-nucleotide long non-coding RNA is filed under the name Sorghum bicolor (sorghum). RNAcentral describes it as "long non-coding RNA (SBIC_LNC004008)". The record is from RNAcentral. Lineage: Eukaryota; Viridiplantae; Streptophyta; Magnoliopsida; Poales; Poaceae.